AAAAAAAAUUAAAAUUAAUAUAUAACCUUGUAUAAAAAUACCAUAUGAACCGUUAAUGCAGGAUUUGAAAAUGUUUUACAAGGCGUGAGGGCACAAAUUUAGAAGAAAAAGUGACAGUUUCCUUGACAGUUCUCAAAAGCUGCUUUUUUUCUAACAUCACGUCAUAUUACAUCACGAGAGGGAGUCGUGUGCUGAGUUCUGCUUUGAGUGGGCGUGAGUCAGCCAGCAGGACAUCGAGUCCACAGGUUUCCUAACAAGAAAUAGGAUGGUAUCUUCUAGGCAUGUGUGCGUUUGUGCGGGUGAAGAGAUGGGACUUCACUAAUGCAUCUGCUUUGAGAAACGGGGUGGUGUGUAACUUAGCGAUCACUUUACACCGGAGGAUUAUCAUCCCGGUGAUAUGAUGCAGUUCAACAUGGGAUACUGAAGCGAGAAACGAGUGAGACUCAGAGCUGAUGCACACAGCACUUUCAUCGGGUCCCGGGCCACCUCUGGCUCGGCCGCCGGCGGGAGACGUGAUGCUCACGGAUCCGUCAGAGAUGCUGCUCCACGAAAACGUCAACUGUGCACCGCUUUGGGAGACAUUGCAAGUAAUGAGGGAGUGUGAAAAUCUGAAACAGUGAAGGCCAGCUGUUAUUAACCACCUCUACUGGACUGCAUCUUCCGCUCCUAAUGGAGAAGCAGAUGUGAUGGAGGCCAUGUGGAAAAGCAGGGUCAACAGUGAAUGUGAUCUAAACGUUUGCUUGCUUCUCCCAGCAUAUGCAUCAGGCCUCAUGGAGUAUCAGAGAGGAAUACUGGAGGUCACCACAGGCUCCAGGAGAACGCAGCACUGACUCUUGUCUUCCACUACACCUGCUCCUCUUUCCAGAUCCCUCCAGCGGAUCAACAAGAUGAGGCUGUUGUUGUGUAUCUAGCACAGCAUUCACGAUUUAACACAUGUUAACAACACAUUAGUGUGAUACCCAGACUGAAAGAUUGUUAAAUGUUUUUAAAUGGGUCAGAUGGUAUAUUUUUCUUUCGGUUGUUUAUGUUUAUUACAUCUACGCACACAUAUAUAUAAAAAUAAACAAUUUUUUAUGCAGUAAGACA
This is a long non-coding RNA of Cyprinus carpio (common carp), 1086 nucleotides long. NCBI's taxonomy places the organism in Eukaryota, Metazoa, Chordata, Actinopteri, Cypriniformes, Cyprinidae. The record is from Ensembl.